GACGUAGGAGGCGAGCGUUAUCCGGAUUCACUGGGCGUAAAGCGCAUGUAGGCGGAUGUCUAAGUCGUGUGUUAAAGCCCCUGGCUCAACUGGGGAGGUCAUGCGAGACUGGAUGACUUGAGGGCAACAGAGGCACGUGGAACUCCCGGUGUAGCGGUGGAAUGCGUAGAGAUCGGGAAGAACACCCGUGGCGAAGGCGGCUUGCUGGGCCGGACCUGACGCUGAGACGCGAAGGCGUGGGAGCGAACGGG
RNAcentral lists this ribosomal RNA (251 nucleotides) under uncultured bacterium. RNAcentral describes it as "partial 16S ribosomal RNA". It matches the Rfam family "Bacterial small subunit ribosomal RNA", at positions 524 to 776 of the family's 1533-position model. The record is from RNAcentral.